RNAcentral lists this ribosomal RNA (547 nucleotides) under Lachnum sp. GL1 A3. RNAcentral's name for it is "eukaryotic LSU rRNA". It matches the Rfam family "Eukaryotic large subunit ribosomal RNA", at positions 67 to 628 of the family's 3401-position model. Lineage: Eukaryota; Fungi; Ascomycota; Leotiomycetes; Helotiales; Lachnaceae. The record is from RNAcentral.
AACGGGGAUUACCUCAGUAACGGCGAGUGAAGCGGUAACAGCUCAAAUUUGAAAUCUGGCCCUUUUAGGGCCCGAGUUGUAAUUUGUAGAAGAUGCUUUGGGCGUGGCUCUGGUCUAAGUCCCUUGGAACAGGGCGUCAUAGAGGGUGAGAAUCCCGUAUGUGGCCAGUGGCUUUCGCCCGUGUAAAGCUCUUUCGACGAGUCGAGUUGUUUGGGAAUGCAGCUCUAAAUGGGUGGUAAAUUUCAUCUAAAGCUAAAUAUUGGCUGGAGACCGAUAGCGCACAAGUAGAGUGAUCGAAAGAUGAAAAGCACUUUGGAAAGAGAGUUAAACAGUACGUGAAAUUGUUGAAAGGGAAGCGCUUGCAACCAGACUCGCAUGCUGUUGAUCAUCCGGGGUUCUCCCCGGUGCACUCGGCAGCCUACGGGCCAGCAUCGGUUUGGGUGGCAGGAUAAAAGCCGUGGGAAUGUAGCUUCUUUCGGGGAGUGUUAUAGCCCUCGGCGCAAUGCUGCCUACCUGGACCGAGGACCGCGCUUCGGCUAGGAUGCUG